RNAcentral lists this ribosomal RNA (354 nucleotides) under uncultured Anoxybacillus sp. Its description in RNAcentral is "bacterial SSU rRNA". It matches the Rfam family "Bacterial small subunit ribosomal RNA", at positions 1029 to 1382 of the family's 1533-position model. The record is from RNAcentral. Lineage: Bacteria; Bacillati; Bacillota; Bacilli; Caryophanales; Anoxybacillaceae.
GGGUGACAGGUGGUGCAUGGUUGUCGUCAGCUCGUGUCGUGAGAUGUUGGGUUAAGUCCCGCAACGAGCGCAACCCUCGACCUUAGUUGCCAGCAUUCAGUUGGGCACUCUAAGGUGACUGCCGGCUAAAAGUCGGAGGAAGGUGGGGAUGACGUCAAAUCAUCAUGCCCCUUAUGACCUGGGCUACACACGUGCUACAAUGGGCGGUACAAAGGGUCGCGAACCCGCGAGGGGGAGCCAAUCCCAAAAAGCCGCUCUCAGUUCGGAUUGCAGGCUGCAACUCGCCUGCAUGAAGCCGGAAUCGCUAGUAAUCGCGGAUCAGCAUGCCCGCGGUCCGAAUACGUUCCGGGCCUU